RNAcentral lists this ribosomal RNA (37 nucleotides) under Pyrenophora teres. RNAcentral describes it as "partial small subunit 5.8S ribosomal RNA". RNAcentral also lists the same sequence under 1 other name. The record is from RNAcentral. Lineage: Eukaryota; Fungi; Ascomycota; Dothideomycetes; Pleosporales; Pleosporaceae.
AACUUUCAACAACGGAUCUCUUGGUUCUGGCAUCGAU